UUUUUUUUUUGUCCCGUUCGUUGCCUCUGAUCUGCUUCAAGUAUUCAAGACUCCGGCUUUUCUGUUGAGUCCUCAAAGUGCGACACACACACACACACACACACACAGAGAGCUGGAGGGGAGUAAUGUGACUCCCACAUAGUCCGCCACCUCUACUGUUUCCACCCUCCACGCCCAUGUCGCCCCACUUGCCUCCUGCACACAGGCGUAGUCACAGUGUUGAUGUCACUCUGCUGAGACCCCCCCCCCCCCUUUUUUUUAUUUUUUUGAGUAACAGCCUAAAGAUGCGGCAUGGCUUACGGGGUAGACGCACAUUCACCGCCUCAAUAACCCCAGGGAGCGCAGCAGGGUGAGGCAAUGGAUGGCAUGUUAACCCCCCCCCCCCCCCCCCCCCUCCUACCCCCACCUCCCUCCCAGCAACCUCUCGUGUUUUGGCCGACGCUCCCUCAGCAGCGGCCACUAUCGCCGCCCUGAUCCGGUGGUCUGAGACCUGUGACCUCUCCAGAUGGCCGGGCCUCUGAGCGGCUUUAUGAUAACCAUACAGUUAAUAUCUGGCCCACAUAUAACCCCCCCACCCCCACCUCCACUACCCACCGCCUCUGCUGCUCUCGUCCCCCCCCGUGCUAUUGUCUCUUAUGCCCACUCCUGAGUACCCCGUUAUAUUCCUUCGUUUCACUCAUCUUUUUUUUUUUUUUCUAAAAUUCCAGAAUCCAUUUCUUUUGUCCCCCAGGCGCAACGGGCGAAGGCUCGAAAACGGUGUAGCAAAUUAAAUUCCGUCUCCCUCUUCAUGCUCCCCUUGGACGUCUGCAUGAUGGAACAGUCAAAGGAGAACAGGGGCAAGGGAAUCUGGAAGAAAAGAGCCCAUUUCCCAUGCAUUACUGCCUCUUUCCUCAGGGUAUAUAGCGAGGUUACAGCAACACCUCCGUCGCCUUUUCUCCCGGUCUUUAAUUUUCUUUUUCUUGCUCCCUCCCCGUCUCGCUCUCACGCAGCCUAACCUGAAGGUCUCUCUGCUCUUGCUACUGCCGCUAACGCAAUCUGACCCAGUUUAUUAGUUUGUGUCUAGUGAAUCAUUAAUCGAGGUUAUCUAACUGUUCCUGUAGUGGUCCCGCCGUGGCUCGUGUGUCAGAGCCGCUGUGCGUUUAGAACUGAUCAAGCCUCGUGCUUCUCGUUCUGCACGUUUGUACUCUAUCAUAACAAUCGUGCACAAAAACAAAGGUAGCCCCUGAAGCUGGACUACAUGUUUAAUAGGUGUGCCAUGCGCUGUAAUAUGUCAUUGUGUCAGAGCACAAUACCAGGACUAAGUGCACUGAAUGCAAAUUAAUCUUGUGGGAUGGCAGCAGCUCAAUAGAGUGCGGUUUUGGGGGAAAGCAGGGGAGCAAAGGGAGGGACAGAAGGAGGGCUAAUAGCGGCGACAGAGAGGAGAAGGAGAGAAAAGAGCAUGUGAGGAGGAGGAGGAGGAGGAGGAGGAGGGCUGUGGGAUGUAGUCAUCGCCGGGCCCAUUCAUCAUGCAAUGCCUGCUGGGAUGCGCUGGGGUCAGUCCUGCACAACACAAUUACAGCCUGUUCUGGUGUGCUGUGUUCCGACUGUUCUCUUGUCUUCUGUUGGGUUCCCUCUGUUCUACCUUCUCCGGCUUUCUCUUUCUUUCCUUACACAUUUCCGAAGUCGCCGCUCGAGCUUUCCCCAAACGAAUUGCGGCAGUUCUUUUGAGCAAAAUGUCUCAAUUAGCUGAACAUUUUUUUUCUUUCUUUUUCUUUGAGUGUUGAACUCUCUCUUUUUUGUCUUUUGCAGUUCAUUGCCACAAGUUUCACGCUGCUCAUGUGAUGCAGCCUCAUUCCGCGGCGUUGUGUCAUCCACUGCGCAGCCGUGUUCUUUCAUCGGCGUCCGAGUCGCUUGGUUCUUGUGAUCGACAGGCCGGGUUAGCAUGGGCGAGUGCGAUUCUGAGGGAAAGCUGUUUGUAGUCCCGACUGAUGGGGGGCGCCCCGGGCCACCGGCGUGCGAUGAAACAGAAGGCUGAGCUUCAAAACCUUGCUGCUGGAUAAUCGAGAGCAAUGAAUUAGUGGUACCGUAAAGACAACACCAUCGGGGGGGGGGGGGGGGGGAAUUGCAGAAUGGGUUCAUUUGCAGGAAUACAAGUGCAAUGCUUGAUUUCUUCAUCGGUUUCUUCUUUUUCUCUCUCCCUCUGGCUGCCAUUGACAGUAAUGUCUUCUCACGUGACCUAAAAGCCAUCUUUUGCUGCUCGGGGAGGGGGGGGCGGCUCUAAGGUGGAGCUCGAAAAACGAUGCCGACCGCUCCGGUCUGAAGAAUCCAAGAAUAUAUUAAGAUUAUGUUGUGUGCAGUCACGGUGUAUUAUGCCGAGUCAUAAUGUUUACUUUCCUUUUUUCCUUCCCAAAUCCACAUCCAUCGCCAAUGACACCCACAGCGCUCACGCCCCGUAUCCGCCGGGCCGAUAGUGACACCGUUUGCUCCCGUCUCUGCUAGCUGAGCGGGCGCAGUCCCGUCACCUGAGGUGGAAACCCGCCUCCUCUGAGGAAUGCAGGGCGGGUGCAGAGCGUCCGUGGGUUCAGCUGUCGCGCCCCGUGCCGACAGCGAGGCCACAGCUUGUGUCCGUCUCUGUUGUCGGAGGCGUUGUAAAGCGCGGUGAGAUAUUUAUGGUUUGCUUCGCUGUGGGGGUUUCAUGCCUCUUUUUUAAAUGAGAAUUCAGAGUCACGGCGGUCCUGUUGUGUUUAUAUAAGAUUAGAAGCGUAUAACAUCUUAUUUCAAACGUUAGGGCUUGUCAUCUAUUCCACAACAACAUGUUCCUCCCAAACAGGACACCUUAAACCUCUUGUACGACACAUUUUCUAAGAUUCUUAUUAGUGGUUAUGGUUUUUUUGGACAAGGUGGCUUCAGGUCACUUGGGCUGCCGGCAGCCGGGGGACAAUUUUCUUUUUCCACUCCUCAAAACCACUCGCAUUUUUCAAACCAAUGAAAUCAAGCAAAAUACUUCUAUGCUCCAGGAGUCACAAAAUCAUACAGGGCCCUUCAACAAACUGCAACCACUCCACCUGAUAAAAUAAACAGGAUAAAAGGAAGGAACUACCCAUUAUUGGCAAUCUAGCAUUUUUCUUUUCAACUUUCUUUCUACUUUCUUUUUUUUUUUUUUUAAGGGAACUUUUCAGGGCAGUUUCCCCCUGAUCCCUUACAGAGGGAGGGUUCAACUUGAGGUCAUGACGAAAAGGGGUCGCCUUUUUAUUCCAGCAAUGCAACGUCCCAGAGGUCACUUGCUCUCACCUAGUGACGCGGUACCAGAC
Molecule: long non-coding RNA, 3290 nt
Organism: Gasterosteus aculeatus aculeatus (three-spined stickleback)
Lineage: Eukaryota; Metazoa; Chordata; Actinopteri; Perciformes; Gasterosteidae
Source: Ensembl